GAUGAACGCUGGCGGCGUGCCUAAUACAUGCAAGUCGAGCGAACAGACGAGGAGCUUGCUCCUCUGACGUUAGCGGCGGACGGGUGAGUAACACGUGGAUAACCUACCUAUAAGACUGGGAUAACUUCGGGAAACCGGAGCUAAUACCGGAUAAUAUAUUGAACCGCAUGGUUCAAUAGUGAAAGACGGUUUUGCUGUCACUUACAGAUGGAUCCGCGCCGCAUUAGCUAGUUGGUAAGGUAACGGCUUACCAAGGCAACGAUGCGUAGCCGACCUGAGAGGGUGAUCGGCCACACUGGAACUGAGACACGGUCCAGACUCCUACGGGAGGCAGCAGUAGGGAAUCUUCCGCAAUGGGCGAAAGCCUGACGGAGCAACGCCGCGUGAGUGAUGAAGGUCUUCGGAUCGUAAAACUCUGUUAUUAGGGAAGAACAAAUGUGUAAGUAACUAUGCACGUCUUGACGGUACCUAAUCAGAAAGCCACGGCUAACUACGU
RNAcentral lists this ribosomal RNA (496 nucleotides) under uncultured bacterium. Its description in RNAcentral is "partial 16S ribosomal RNA". It matches the Rfam family "Bacterial small subunit ribosomal RNA", at positions 28 to 506 of the family's 1533-position model. The record is from RNAcentral.